This is a long non-coding RNA of Melospiza melodia melodia, 1854 nucleotides long. RefSeq lists it as uncharacterized. The record is from RefSeq and is a predicted model, not a curated record. The transcript has 4 exons. Lineage: Eukaryota; Metazoa; Chordata; Aves; Passeriformes; Passerellidae.
CUUCCCGAGCAAUUUUUCAAUGUAACUUUAUUCCAGCUCAUGGAACCCAUCCAGUUCCACACCGCCCCCAAGCCCGGAGAGCCACGCACCACCACCACCGCAGUCGGAACCGGAACACCCGGCCAAAUUUAUCUACUGAAAAAAAAAUUCAUAAAUUAAUUUCCAAGCACGAGCGGUGCCACACCCUAGCAGAGAAGCCCCCAGGAAGAAGAGGAGGCAGCGAAAAGUCCGAGGGCUCCCAGCAUGUGCUACCAUAAAAGGUCCGCAGAUAAAGCCGCCCCACGGCUCCAGCGGGAUCGGUUUUCCCCCGGUGAGCAAUGACUUCUGUCUUCAGUGACUGAUACAUUGCAAGACCAAGGUGAAGAGCACAACCAAUGUUCCAGCUGACCUCACUUUCCAAAACUCAUAAUUCCUUCAAAUAAACAUCAUUGAACACAGGCAGGCAGUGGAGUGACAGAAUUCAAACACAAUCCUGCAUUACACCAUAACAGCCCAAACGCUUUCCAAAGGAAAAGGUGAUGCUCGGCAGCAGUUUAAUGAAUUGUUUUGACCCAGUGGAACACACCGUGUCCCCUCCUGGUAAUGAGACACUCGGCAGAAAGUGUCACAUGGCAGGAACAAUGGCAGCAGGCUGUCACUACGGCCACAAAGCCCCUUCACCUCGGAGCAAUCUCUCCCCAGACAAUGCAGGGGAAGAUCAGCCCUCGAGAUGAGUUUGUCUCCUGAGAUCUCUGAGACUCCCUGCAGAAUUUCCUCUCCCUGAUGCACCCAUGGAUGUGUCCACAGCAGCUGUGGUGUCACUGCAUGCCCUGAUGGUCCCAGGGACACAGGGCAGGACUGAAACCCAGCCAAAGAAUCAAAGAAAAACAGUGCUAAAAUCAGAUUAUUCUUCUUGCCAUCAUGAAGCUUUCCAGGAAAUUCGCUUUCCAGCUGAGGGAAGUGGUAGUGCUCUAUAGUGCUCGGUGAGGAAGUACAAAAUCAGCUGCAAUAUCAGCAAGGUUUUCUUUUUCUUCAAAUGAGACGGUAUUAAACAUUAGAAACAUUACACGUUGGGAUCUUUAGCUUGUCAGAGUGACCCCAAGGAAAGUUCCACAGUCUCUUUUCCCAGCCCGGCGCUCCAAGAAGGAGUCAGGGCUCUUCAUUUCUCAGUCUCAAGGUUGUUUAUUGUAUCUUAUCUAUAAAAAAUUUUCUCCUGCCUUGCUGAGGUCCAUCCUACAGGACAGUUCAGGCACUCUGCCUGCCCCCAGGGCAGUGUUAUGUCUUUAUACUAAAAACUACAUGUACAAUGUUUACAAUCACUUUCCAACACCUAUCACCUAUGUUAGACAGUGAGCUUCUACUCUAAACCUAUCUAAAAGUGCCAGCACCACAGCAAAAGAUGGAGGCCAAGAAGAAGGAGAAAGGCUGGACAUGCCCAAAUUCCUCCAUCUUGCCCCCUGAACCCCCAUUCUAAAAACCCCAAAAUCUACUUUUUCACCUUGUGAUAAAUUCACUAUCAUUCUACUUAAUUUGUCAUGGCUUUCAGAUCAUGAUCUAAGGUUGGAAAUUGGCUCCAUGGGUCAUAAUCAGAACCACAGGGGCAUUUAUGAGCUCUGUGCCAGGGUCUCUGAGAUCCCUGGCAGGGGUCUGGGCUGCUCAGGACAGCCAGAGGGAUGUCCUGGGUUCCGACAAUUAUAUACAUUUAACAUUAUUAAAUUCAGCCAGGGCACACACAGGAUUCCAUCCCCUGCUGCAAUGGCCUUGGGGAGCUUGUCAGCCAGGAGCAAACUCAUCUUUCACAGACUAAAACCCAAAGGUAUCACUCAGUCCUGUGCAUUCCCCACUUUUCUCUUCCAGCCAACGUUCUGGUUUGUC